Molecule: ribosomal RNA, 489 nt
Filed under: Helicobacter pylori
Lineage: Bacteria; Pseudomonadati; Campylobacterota; Epsilonproteobacteria; Campylobacterales; Helicobacteraceae
Description: bacterial SSU rRNA
Rfam family: Bacterial small subunit ribosomal RNA
Source: RNAcentral
UUUGUAAGGUAAUGGUUACCAAGGCUAUGACGGUAUCCGGCUGAGAGGCGUGAACGGAACACACUGGGAACUGAGACACGGUCCAGACUCCUACGGGAGGCAGCAGUAGGGAAUAUUGCUCAAUGGGGGAAACCCUGAAGCAGCAACGCCGCGUGGAGGAUGAAGGUUUUAGGAUUGUAAACUCCUUUUGUUAGAGAAGAUAAUGACGGUAUCUAACGAAUAAGCACCGGCUAACUCCGUGCCAGCAGCCGCGGUAAUACGGAGGGUGCAAGCGUUACUCGGAAUCACUGGGCGUAAAGAGCGCGUAGGCGGGAUAGUCAGUCAGGUGUGAAAUCCUAUGGCUUAACCAUAGAACUGCAUUUGAAACUACUAUUCUAGAGUGUGGGAGAGGGUAAGGUGGAAUUCUUGGUGUAGGGGUAAAAUCCGUAGAGAUCAAGAGGAAUACUCAUUGCGAAGGCGACCUGCUGGAACAUUACUGACGCUGAUUGC